GGAGGAGUGGCCGAGCGGUUGAAGGCACCGGUCUUGAAAACCGGCGUGCGGGAAACCGUACCGUGGGUUCGAAUCCCACCUCCUCCG
Molecule: transfer RNA, 87 nt
Filed under: Hoeflea marina
Lineage: Bacteria; Pseudomonadati; Pseudomonadota; Alphaproteobacteria; Hyphomicrobiales; Rhizobiaceae
Rfam family: tRNA
About the family: Transfer RNA (tRNA) molecules are approximately 80 nucleotides in length. Their secondary structure includes four short double-helical elements and three loops (D, anti-codon, and T loops). Further hydrogen bonds mediate the characteristic L-shaped molecular structure. tRNAs have two regions of fundamental functional importance: the anti-codon, which is responsible for specific mRNA codon recognition, and the 3' end, to which the tRNAs corresponding amino acid is attached (by aminoacyl-tRNA synthetases). tRNAs cope with the degeneracy of the genetic code in two manners: having more than one tRNA (with a specific anti-codon) for a particular amino acid; and 'wobble' base-pairing, i.e. permitting non-standard base-pairing at the 3rd anti-codon position.
Source: Rfam by way of RNAcentral